RNAcentral lists this ribosomal RNA (406 nucleotides) under uncultured bacterium. Its description in RNAcentral is "partial 16S ribosomal RNA". It matches the Rfam family "Bacterial small subunit ribosomal RNA", at positions 30 to 526 of the family's 1533-position model. The record is from RNAcentral.
AUUGAACGCUGGCGGCAGGCCUAACACAUGCAAGUCGAACGAGUGGCGGACGGGUGAGUAAUGUCUUGGAAACUGCCUGAUGGAGGGGUAUAACUACUGGAAACGGUAGCUAAUACCGCAUACCAUCAGAUGUGCCCAGAGUGGAUUAGCUAGUAGGGGGGGUAAUGGCUCACCUAGGCGACGAUCCCUAGCUGGUCUGAGAGGAUGACCCGCCACACUGGAACUGAGACACGGUCCAGCCUCCUACGGGAGGCAGCAGUGGGGAAUAUUGGACAAUGGGCGCAAGCCUGAUGUAGCCAUGCCGCGUGUGUGAAGAAGGCCUUCGGGUUGUAAAGCACUUUCAGCGAGGAGGCGUUACUCGCAGAAGAAGCACCGGCUAACUCCGUGCCAGCAGCCGCGGUAAUUC